This 253-nucleotide ribosomal RNA is filed under the name uncultured bacterium. RNAcentral describes it as "partial 16S ribosomal RNA". It matches the Rfam family "Bacterial small subunit ribosomal RNA", at positions 524 to 776 of the family's 1533-position model. The record is from RNAcentral.
UACGUAGGGAGCAAGCGUUGCCCGGAAUCAUUGGGCGUAAAGCGCGCGUAGGUGGCCUCGUCAGUCCGCUGUGAAAGUCAAAGGCUCAACCUUUGAAAGCCGGUGGAUACUGUGAGGCUAGAGUACGGAAGAGGCGAGUGGAAUUCCUGGUGUAGCGGUGGAAUGCGCAGAUAUCAGGAGGAACACCAAAAGCGAAGGCAGCUCGCUGGGACGUAACUGACACUGAGGCGCGAAAGCUAGGGGAGCAAACGGG